CUCAAGAGGGGUGUCAUCAUUCAUGGUUAUCCAAAUACCUGUUUAAAAGGAGGGUUACGGUAAGCCAUGUGCCUUUACACUCUAUCAAUAACAUCUAUUACUCUACUCAGCAAUUCUAUUGAAGAAUGUCUGUGAGGAUUCUGUCCACCAGGGGGAGCUGAGAUGCAGUGUUAAUGUUCUCAACCUUUUACUAAGCAUAAUCAGCAACGAUUGAUAGAAGCUUCUCUAUGAAGAACCAUUUCCAUCAAAGGUGAGGAGCAGAGCUGCCACAGGCUUGCUGUGCAGGGCGUUGAAGGUGAAAGCUGAGAGGGAGACAAGCUGCUUGCUGUGAAGAGAACUACAGAGCAUGAAUCAACUUAUCAAGUUUUAUCAGUGCCUGCAUGGGGGAACUCAUGACUCAGCUCCUGGGAAACAAGAAAGGCAGAAUCUCAGACUAUCUGUGGUCCCAGCAAGCAGCAUUCAGAGCAUCAUCUCCAGCGCUGUCUUUCCUUCUGCUCUGGCCUACUCUGCUCUCCUAUACCUUGGGUAAAUGAACGGAGGCAAAGGAACGCUAAUCUUUGGGCAUCGGUUGAAAAAAACUAACAGAAGUCACUGAAAUGAGGAUUUCAAAAAUUCCAAAUCCCAGAAAGCAUGAAUUAUAUUAAAUAACAAUCAAAA
This 657-nucleotide long non-coding RNA is filed under the name Rhinopithecus bieti (black snub-nosed monkey). RNAcentral's name for it is "lncRNA (ENSRBIG00000046628.1)". Lineage: Eukaryota; Metazoa; Chordata; Mammalia; Primates; Cercopithecidae. The record is from RNAcentral.